This 561-nucleotide ribosomal RNA is filed under the name uncultured bacterium. Its description in RNAcentral is "bacterial SSU rRNA". It matches the Rfam family "Bacterial small subunit ribosomal RNA", at positions 338 to 916 of the family's 1533-position model. The record is from RNAcentral.
CCUACGGGAGGCAGCAGUGGGGAAUCUUGCGCAAUGGGCGAAAGCCUGACGCAGCCAUGCCGCGUGAAUGAUGAAGGUCUUAGGAUUGUAAAAUUCUUUCACCGGGGACGAUAAUGACGGUACCCGGAGAAGAAGCCCCGGCUAACUUCGUGCCAGCAGCCGCGGUAAUACGAAGGGGGCUAGCGUUGCUCGGAAUUACUGGGCGUAAAGGGAGCGUAGGCGGAUAGUUUAGUCAGAGGUGAAAGCCCAGGGCUCAACCUUGGAAUUGCCUUUGAUACUGGCUAUCUUGAGUAUGGGAGAGGUUAGCGGAACUCCGAGUGUAGAGGUGAAAUUCGUAGAUAUUCGGAAGAACACCAGUGGCGAAGGCGGCUAACUGGCCCAUUACUGACGCUGAGGCUCGAAAGCGUGGGGAGCAAACAGGAUUAGAUACCCUGGUAGUCCACGCCGUAAACGAUGAGUGCUAGUUGUCGGCAUGCAUGCAUGUCGGUGACGCAGCUAACGCAUUAAGCACUCCGCCUGGGGAGUACGGUCGCAAGAUUAAAACUCAAAAGGAAUUGACGG